CCCAAAUUGGGACACACUAUUCCAGAUGUAUCUUCACAGAUCCUGAGAAGAGAGGAAUAACCACUUUCCUCAGAACGCUGCCUACACUUCUGGUAAUACAGCUCGGUAUGUGCACAGCUCUCAUUCCCACAGUUGGGAUCAUAUGCACAAAGUAAGAUCCAUAUCCACAAAGCAACACCCCAGCAGGUUGACUCCAGUCCACGGCUGAGCAUGGUGGGUAGAUCGUACCCAGGUUCAGGACUUUGCAUUUGUUCUUUGUAGCAUUUCAUGAAGCUCCUUCUGACCAGUUUCUCCAGUUUGUGUGGGUCCUUGGGUGACACCCAGUGUAUCAGCCACUCCUCCCAUCUGGUGUCACCAAGAGACUCGCUGAGGGCUCGUUACAUUCCGCUGUCCAGGUUAUUGAUGAGUUCAACAUUUGUUAAUCCAUGCUGGCUGUUCACAGUUGCUGUCUUUCCUUUCACUUGCAGUGAAAUGACCUGCAAAAAAGACUUGCUCCUCAAUUUUUCCAACAACCGAGGAAAGUGUGACCAUCUUUUAGCUGCCUGGAUCCUCUUUGUCACUUGUUUUAAAAAAUACUUUUUUUCUCUUACUGCAGGCCCGAAGAGACAGUCCUCCCCAAGGAUAUCUCUUCUCCUUGGAGACAUUUGGGCAGAGGAAUCACAUAUCAUAACCGUGGUUAAGAUGAGCACACACUGA
This 696-nucleotide long non-coding RNA is filed under the name Cyanistes caeruleus (blue tit). RNAcentral describes it as "lncRNA (ENSCCEG00000010229.1)". The record is from RNAcentral. Lineage: Eukaryota; Metazoa; Chordata; Aves; Passeriformes; Paridae.